This 844-nucleotide ribosomal RNA is filed under the name uncultured Acinetobacter sp. Its description in RNAcentral is "bacterial SSU rRNA". It matches the Rfam family "Bacterial small subunit ribosomal RNA", at positions 494 to 1328 of the family's 1533-position model. The record is from RNAcentral. Lineage: Bacteria; Pseudomonadati; Pseudomonadota; Gammaproteobacteria; Moraxellales; Moraxellaceae.
GGGCUAACUCUGUACCUGCAGCCGCGGUAAUGCGGAGGGUGCAAGCGUUUAUCGGAUUUACUGGGAGUAAAGCGCGCGUAGGUGGCCAAAUAAGUCAAAUGUAAAAUCCCCGAGCUUAACUUGGGAAUUGCAUUCGAUACUGGUUGGCUAGAGUAUGGGAGAGGAUGGUAGAAUUCCAGGUGUAGCGGUGAAAUGCGUAGAGAUCUGNGAGGAAUACCGAUGGCGAAGGCAGCCAUCUGGCCUAAUACUGACACUGAGGUGCGAAAGCAUGGGGAGCAAACAGGAUUAGAUACCCUGGUAGUCCAUGCCGUAAACGAUNUNUACUAGCCGUUGGGGCCUUUGAGGCUUUAGUGGCGCAGCUAACGCGAUAAGUAGACCGCCUGGNGNNGNAGUANCGGUCGCNANAGACUAAAACUCAAAUGAAUUGACGGGGGCCCGCACAAGCGGUGGAGCAUGUGGUUUAAUUCGAUGCAACGCGAAGAACCUUACCUGGUCUUGGCAUAGUAAGAACUUUCCAGAGAUGGAUUGGUGCCUUCGGGAACUUACAUACAGGUGCUGCAUGGCUGUCGUCAGCUCGUGUCGUGAGAUGUUGGGUUAAGUCCCGCAACGAGCGCAACCCUUUUCCUUAUUUGCCAGCGGGUUAAGCCGGGAACUUUAAGGAUACUGCCAGUGACAAACUGGAGGAAGGCGGGGACGACGUCAAGUCAUCAUGGCCCUUACGACCAGGGCUACACACGUGCUACAAUGGUCGGUACAAAGGGUUGCUACCUCGCGAGAGGAUGCUAAUCUCAAAAAGCCGAUCGUAGUCCGGAUUGGAGUCUGCAACUCGACUCCCAUGAAGUCG